RNAcentral lists this ribosomal RNA (421 nucleotides) under uncultured bacterium. RNAcentral's name for it is "bacterial SSU rRNA". It matches the Rfam family "Bacterial small subunit ribosomal RNA", at positions 355 to 774 of the family's 1533-position model. RNAcentral also lists the same sequence under 1 other name. The record is from RNAcentral.
UCGAGAAUCUUCGGCAAUGGGCGAAAGCCUGACCGAGCGACGCCGCGUGAGGGAAGAAGGCCUUCGGGUUGUAAACCUCUUUCGUAGAGGAGGAAGGGGCCGUGCAGAGCGGUCUUUGACCUAUUCUAGGAAGAAGCUUGGGCUAAGUUCGUGCCAGCAGCCGCGGUAAGACGAACCAAGCGAACGUUAUUCGGAAUUACUGGGCUUAAAGCGCGUGUAGGCGGAUGACCACGUCAGUCGUUGAAAUCCCCCGGCUCAACCGGGGAACAGGCGCUGAUACGAGUUGUCUGGAGGUGGGUAGGGGAGACUGGAACUUCCGGUGGAGCGGUGAAAUGCGUUGAGAUCGGAAGGAACGCCCGCGGCGAAAGCGAGUCUCUGGACCCAUUCUGACGCUGAGACGCGAAAGCCAGGGGAGCAAACG